UGGACCCUGCUGUGCACGUGAUGCGCCAUGCGUUUUGAGCCAACACUCGUUUUUUGGGGGCUGGAUUCGUGGAGAGGGGAUGCGGUAGCCUGCUACAGGGCAAGGCUGAACCAGCCAGAUAGGUCCCCACCUGCGCAAGCAGGUUCAAAGAUGCUGGUCCUGCACACGGCAUAGCGGGGGCUCC
Molecule: non-coding RNA, 184 nt
Filed under: Anaerolineae bacterium
Lineage: Bacteria; Bacillati; Chloroflexota; Anaerolineae
Also listed under: 1 other name
Description: 6S RNA
Rfam family: 6S / SsrS RNA
About the family: E. coli 6S RNA was the first non coding RNA to be sequenced, but its function was unknown until recently.
Source: RNAcentral